UACGUAGGGGGCAAGCGUUGUCCGGAUUUAUUGGGCGUAAAGAGCGUGUAGGCGGCUUUACAGGUCCGUUGUGAAAACUCGAGGCUCAACCUCGAGACGCCGGUGGAAACCGUAAAGCUAGAGUCCGGAAGAGGAGAGUGGAAUUCCUGGUGUAGCGGUGAAAUGCGCAGAUAUCGGGAGGAACACCUGAGGCGAAGGCGGGCUACUGGGCCGAUACUGACGCUGAUGCGCGAAAGCCGGGGGAGCGAACGGG
Molecule: ribosomal RNA, 253 nt
Filed under: uncultured bacterium
Lineage: Bacteria
Description: partial 16S ribosomal RNA
Rfam family: Bacterial small subunit ribosomal RNA
Source: RNAcentral